UUUGACGUCGCUAUCUUUGACACACAUUGUGUUCGCACGUUUUCGUUCAGCUGCAAGUUGUGGAUUGCGAGCCAAGAACUUACGUGUUUCGUGAUCAUCGAUCAGUGUUUGACAAACCACUCGAAGAACUGGGUUUCUGAAAGCUGCUUGGACGUGAAGAUAACAGAUAAUACGAAAUAUGGCAGAAAAGACACCCAUCGGAAGUCCCACGAAAAACCAGAAAUAAGAAAACACCAAAUAGACAUUCCUGCGGAGAGGAAGAAAAAUAUACGAUAUUU
This is a long non-coding RNA of Dendronephthya gigantea, 278 nucleotides long. RefSeq lists it as uncharacterized. The record is from RefSeq and is a predicted model, not a curated record. NCBI's taxonomy places the organism in Eukaryota, Metazoa, Cnidaria, Anthozoa, Malacalcyonacea, Nephtheidae. The transcript has 3 exons.